RNAcentral lists this ribosomal RNA (622 nucleotides) under uncultured fungus. Its description in RNAcentral is "SSU rRNA". It matches the Rfam family "Eukaryotic small subunit ribosomal RNA", at positions 627 to 1254 of the family's 1831-position model. Lineage: Eukaryota; Fungi. The record is from RNAcentral.
CUCGUAGUUGAACCUUGGGCCUGGCUGGCAGGUCCGCCUCACCGCGUGUACUUGUCCGGCCGGGCCUUUCCUUCUGGAGAACCUCAUGCCCUUCACUGGGUGUGUUGGGGAACCAGAACUUUUACUUUGAAAAAAUUAGAGUGUUCAAAGCAGGCCUUUGCUCGAAUACGUUAGCAUGGAAUAAUAGAAUAGGACGUGCGGUCCUAUUUUGUUGGUUUCUAGGACCGCCGUAAUGAUUAAUAGGGACAGUCGGGGGCAUCAGUAUUCAAUUGUCAGAGGUGAAAUUCUUGGAUUUAUUGAAGACUAACUACUGCGAAAGCAUUUGCCAAGGAUGUUUUCAUUAAUCAGUGAACGAAAGUUAGGGGAUCGAAGACGAUCAGAUACCGUCGUAGUCUUAACCGUAAACUAUGCCGACUAGGGAUCGGGCGAUGUUCUUUUUCUGACUCGCUCGGCACCUUACGAGAAAUCAAAGUUUUUGGGUUCUGGGGGGAGUAUGGUCGCAAGGCUGAAACUUAAAGAAAUUGACGGAAGGGCACCACCAGGCGUGGAGCCUGCGGCUUAAUUUGACUCAACGCGGGGAAACUCACCAGGUCCAGAUGAAUAAGGAUUGACAGAUUGAGAG